This 1605-nucleotide long non-coding RNA is filed under the name Sorghum bicolor (sorghum). RNAcentral's name for it is "long non-coding RNA (SBIC_LNC015541)". The record is from RNAcentral. Lineage: Eukaryota; Viridiplantae; Streptophyta; Magnoliopsida; Poales; Poaceae.
GAAAUGUUUUCAGCACAUAGAUGAACAAAAAAAGAAUGCUUGUCAGAACUUGAAAGAAACUGUGGUGAUUUGGGAACUGAACUGUAGACAAUUAAAUGAUUUUUCAUUCAGUUUACAGAUCAGUUGGAAGCUGUACAGUGAGUUAAGUUGUUUAUAGAUCAGCGAAAAACAUUAUAGAAGUUGUCUUCACCAGCUGGCAUGGUUUUGAAAAAAAAAAUGAUUAACAGACAAAAAGAACAACAGUUAGCUAGAGAACUCAUGUUAUAAGGCCUUGUUUAGUUUCGAAAUUUUUUGGGAAAUGGACACUGUAGCAUUUUCGUUUGUAUUUGACAAAUAUUGUCCAAUUAUGGACUAACUAGGCUCAAAAGAUUCGUCUCGUCAAUUUCGACCAAACUGUGCAAUUAGUUUUUAUUUUCGUCUAUAUUUAAUACUCCAUGUAUGCGUCUAAAGAUUCGAUGUGACGGGGAAUGUGAAAAAUUUUGUAAAAUUUUCUGGGAAGUAAACAAGGCCUAAAUAUAAGCCGAGAAUUUGACAUGCUUGCACCUGUACAAUACAAUAGGUUGGUCAGGUAUGAUUCUUGACUAGGAAAAAAAGAUAUCUUGCAUACUGUAUUAUUUUUAGUUGAUGAACAGAGUUCUCUGUUGCCUGCAUGACCAUGUGAUGUCUACGACUUUUUUUAAAAAAAAUCCAGAAAAUUUCCUCUCCUGAGCCAUAAAUAGUUUCUUUUAUUCAGAUGGUUGGAGUUGUCAUAUUCAAAUAUGGAAACAGUAAGCAGUCAGAUAUACUAUAUAUUGGGAUUUCCUGCUGACUAGCAAAAUAGAAGCACUUUAGCUGAUCUGACAUCAUGGGUCAGGUAUUUUGGGAUGGAGCUGAACUUGCAAUAGCAUUAGCAAAAUGAAAACCUUAGCAUGUUGAAUGAUAGCAGAUAAGAAACUUGUAUUUCUUGCAAUUGGCUCUAGAUGUUGAUAAGAAAUGCCCAUGUGCAAUAUCUUGAAAGCUUGGAUUUGAAUCCAGAAAGCUUAAGUUGGUCUUAUGUUCUUGCCCCUGUUUUUUUCCUAAUUAGCAUAUUUAUUACCUUAGUGCCCUAGCCACUGCCAAAAGUUUUUACCUUGAUCAACCAUGGGCAGUUACCAUUGAAAUUUCUAAAACCUAUACAUAUAUUUGUUUUUUAAGAAAUCUUUUGGUUGGAUUGGACUCAUGUUUUACUAUUUUCAUGUGGAUAUAAUUUAAGCUUGUGCAAGAGUAUAUGUUUAUGUCAAUGAAGUAUGAACUAUUGCAAUAAUUAUUUCCAUAUGACAAAGUAAGGCUAAAGAUGAAAAGAAUCAAUUACUAGGACAAUGGGAAAAUGUGAACUCAUGCCAGCUUUGCAAAGUAGAAAAGCUCUUUUUGAGCCUCCACCUACUUUGAGCCAACAACAGACACUGUGCUAUGAAACAUAUUGGCCUAAAUAAUCUAUAAAUCGGAAUUUGAACAUGGGACCACCGUGGACCUAGGCAUACAUUCUCUAAUUCAUAAGUGGUCGACUAUACAAUAGUAGAAAAAAUAUAAACACAUGCCUGUUUAGAGAGGCUGGCAUUUUUUCACUCAGUACAGAUGGUUACGGUG